GCCUUCUUUUAGAAAGAAACAAGCAGAUCUUUUGUUCCCCCCAGAUUUUGCCGAAGACUUUCCAGUUGUAAUGCAGAUAUCCCACAAAUACAGUUUGAUCUACGUGAUCACCAAGCUAGGGCUAUUAUUUGUUUAUGACUUGGAGACCGCUACUGCAGUUUAUAGAAACAGAAUCUGUCCAGAUAUAUUUUUGACAGCAGCUUCACCAGUGGGAGGUUUUUUAUGCAAUCAAUAUGCAUGGACAGGUGUUAUUGGCUACAGUAAAUGAUCUAACAAUUGUACCAUUUGUCGUGGCCAGUUGAACAAUUUGGAGCUUGCUGUCAAUCUUGCCAAAAAAGGGAAUCUUCCUGGAGCCGGGCAGCUUGUUGUCCAACGUUUCCAAGAACUAUUUUCCCAAACAAAGUACAAAGAAGCUGCAGAACUUGCCGCUGAGUCCCCCCAAGGAAUCCUCCGAACACUGGACAUAGUUGCAAAAUUCCAGGUUUUACAUGUUGAUUCUCCAAUCAAACACAUCUUACCUUUCAAAAUAUUCUGUCAAUCAUACACAUUUCGUUGGCUGCUAAUAUUUCAUAGCUUCAAUGUUCUUCAUCCACGUCAAGUUGUCUCCAUUUGAUUUCUGGCCAUUCAGGAUCUCGGUAAGCACUGGUUGUAAUGGCCUUAUCUCUC
Long non-coding RNA from Juglans regia (Persian walnut), 666 nucleotides. RefSeq lists it as uncharacterized. The record is from RefSeq and is a predicted model, not a curated record. The transcript is spliced from 4 exons. Lineage: Eukaryota; Viridiplantae; Streptophyta; Magnoliopsida; Fagales; Juglandaceae.